GUAUUAUGUAGCUUAACAACAAAGCAUAGUGCUGAAGCCACUAAAAUGAGCUCUCGCUCCAAAUACA
This 67-nucleotide transfer RNA is filed under the name Phrynocephalus theobaldi theobaldi. Its description in RNAcentral is "tRNA-Phe". Lineage: Eukaryota; Metazoa; Chordata; Lepidosauria; Squamata; Agamidae. The record is from RNAcentral.